GAUGAACGCUGGCGGCGUGCCUAAUACAUGCAAGUCGAGCGAACAGACGAGGAGCUUGCUCCUCUGACGUUAGCGGCGGACGGGUGAGUAACACGUGGAUAACCUACCUAUAAGACUGGGAUAACUUCGGGAAACCGGAGCUAAUACCGGAUAAUAUAUUGAACCGCAUGGUUCAAUAGUGAAAGACGGUUUUGCUGUCACUUAUAGAUGGAUCCGCGCCGCAUUAGCUAGUUGGUAAGGUAACGGCUUACCAAGGCGACGAUGCGUAGCCGACCUGAGAGGGUGAUCGGCCACACUGGAACGGAGCCACGGUCCAGACUCCUGCGGGAGGCAGCAGUAGGGAAUCUUCCGCAAUGGGCGAAAGCCUGGCGGAGCAACGCCGCGUGAGUGAUGAAGGUCUUCGGAUCGUAAAACUCUGUUAUUAGGGAAGAACAAAUGUGUAAGUAACUAUGCACGUCUUGACGGUACCUAAUCAGAAAGCCACGGCUAACUACGUG
This 497-nucleotide ribosomal RNA is filed under the name uncultured bacterium. RNAcentral's name for it is "partial 16S ribosomal RNA". It matches the Rfam family "Bacterial small subunit ribosomal RNA", at positions 28 to 507 of the family's 1533-position model. The record is from RNAcentral.